RNAcentral lists this ribosomal RNA (371 nucleotides) under uncultured organism. RNAcentral describes it as "partial 16S ribosomal RNA". It matches the Rfam family "Bacterial small subunit ribosomal RNA", at positions 527 to 896 of the family's 1533-position model. The record is from RNAcentral.
GUAGGUGGCAAGCGUUGUCCGGAAUUAUUGGGCGUAAAGCGCGCGCAGGCGGUUCUUUAAGUCUGAUGUGAAAGCCCACGGCUCAACCGUGGAGGGUCAUUGGAAACUGGAGAACUUGAGUACAGAAGAGGAAAGCGGAAUUCCACGUGUAGCGGUGAAAUGCAUAGAGAUGUGGAGGAACACCAGUGGCGAAGGCGGCUUUCUGGUCUGUAACUGACGCUGAGGCGCGAAAGCGUGGGGGAGCAAACAGGAUUAGAUACCCUGGUAGUCCACGCCGUAAACGAUGAGUGCUAAGUGUUAGGGGGUUUCCGCCCCUUAGUGCUGCAGCUAACGCAUUAAGCACUCCGCCUGGGAGUACGGCCGCAAGGCUG